RNAcentral lists this ribosomal RNA (237 nucleotides) under uncultured Actinomycetales bacterium. Its description in RNAcentral is "partial 16S ribosomal RNA". It matches the Rfam family "Bacterial small subunit ribosomal RNA", at positions 96 to 334 of the family's 1533-position model. The record is from RNAcentral. Lineage: Bacteria; Bacillati; Actinomycetota; Actinomycetes; Actinomycetales.
UGGCGAACGGGUGAGUAACACGUGAGUAACCUGCCCUUGACUUUGGGAUAACUUCAGGAAACUGGGGCUAAUACCGGAUAGGAGCUCCUGCUGCAUGGUGGGGGUUGGAAAGUUUCGGCGGUUGGGGAUGGACUCGCGGCUUAUCAGCUUGUUGGUGGGGCAGUGGCUUACCAAGGCUUUGACGGGUAGCCGGCCUGAGAGGGUGACCGGCCACAUUGGGACUGAGAUACGGCCCAG